Molecule: transfer RNA, 86 nt
Filed under: Gloeobacterales cyanobacterium ES-bin-313
Lineage: Bacteria; Bacillati; Cyanobacteriota; Cyanophyceae; Gloeobacterales
Description: tRNA-OTHER
Source: RNAcentral
GGAAGGUUCCGCCAAGUAGUUGGCAACUCGUCUAGAAAACGAGGGUGGCAUUUGAGCCAGGGGUGCGACUCCUCAACUUUCCGCCA